GACGAACGCUGGCGGCGUGCUUAACACAUGCAAGUCGAACGGUGAAGGUGGGAGCUUGCUCCUGCUGGAUCAGUGGCGAACGGGUGAGUAACACGUGAGUAACCUGCCCUUGACUCUGGGAUAAGCGUUGGAAACGACGUCUAAUACCGGAUACGAGCUUCAGCCGCAUGGCUAGGAGUUGGAAAGAUUUUUCGGUUAAAGAUGGACUCGCGGCCUAUCAGCUUGUUGGUGAGGUAAUGGCUCACCAAGGCGACGACGGGUAGCCGGCGUGAGAGAGUGACCGGCCACACUGGGACUGAGACACCGCCCAGACUCCUACGGGAGGCAGCAGUGGGGAAUAUUGCACAAUGGGCGCAAGCCUGAUGCAGCAACGCCGCGUGAGGGACGACGGCCUUCGGGUUGUAAACCUCUUUUAGCAGGGAAGAAGCGCAAGUGACGGUACCUGCAGAAAAAGCACCGGCUAACUACGUGCCAGCCGCCGCAGUAA
RNAcentral lists this ribosomal RNA (487 nucleotides) under uncultured bacterium. RNAcentral's name for it is "partial 16S ribosomal RNA". It matches the Rfam family "Bacterial small subunit ribosomal RNA", at positions 28 to 523 of the family's 1533-position model. The record is from RNAcentral.